Canis lupus familiaris (dog) is the source of this 8010-nucleotide long non-coding RNA. RefSeq lists it as uncharacterized. The transcript is spliced from 3 exons. NCBI's taxonomy places the organism in Eukaryota, Metazoa, Chordata, Mammalia, Carnivora, Canidae. The record is from RefSeq and is a predicted model, not a curated record.
GACUUUAAAAAAGAAAAUUAAAAAAAAAAAACCUAAAUGGACUAAAUUCUCCAUCAGACUAUAUUUUUUAAAUGUACAUGCCAUUAACAAGAUGUAUUUAUCUUAAAUGUAAAGGUACGGGGAGAUUGAAAGUAAAAAUUGGAAAAAAUACAGUCUACAAAUACAGCCCCCGACAAAAGUUAGCAUAGCUGCUAUAAAUAGCAGAAGUAGUAGACUUUAAGGCAAAAGGUAUUGCUAGUUAUAAAGACACACUUGAGAAUAUAUGAAGUACAUUCAACCAAAAGAUUUAAUGUUUAAAUCUAUAUGCAUCUAAUUACAUAGUCUCAAAAUAUCUAAAGCAAAAGCCAACAGAACAUGAUGAAACAGACAAAUCCAUGAUCCUGCUGGGAGGUUACACAUACGGUUCUGGGGGACAUGUAAGAAAUGACUAUAAUCUUACACAACGUUUCCUAAAAAAAGAAGAAAAUGAGAAACAUUUCCAAACUCUUGUGAUGAGGCCAAGAAAACUCUAAUACCAAAACCAUAACAAGGAUGAAAUCACAGACCAUUUCACUCAUGAACACAGAUGCUAAACUCCUAAACAAAACAACUAACUGAAUCUAGUAAUACAUAAAAAAGGACAAUACAUCAUGAUCAAGAUGGGUUUAUUCCAGGAGUGAGAAGUCACUUUAAUAUUUGAAAAUCAAUGCUGACUCACCACAAAAUAAAUCAUAAUUUUCUCAGAGGAUACAUGAAAGUAAUUUAGUAAAACUCAAUAUGCAUGCACAAUUUUUUUUAACUCUUAGCAAACUAGUAAUAGAAGGGUAGUUCCUUAAUCUGAAAAAGCCUAUUUUUUUUUUAAAGACAUACUGUUGAAAGCCUGCCCUCUGAGACUAGGAGAAAGGUAAGGCUGCCACUGUGGGCACCUCUUUCCAGGAUUGUUCUUGGAGUCCAAGCUAGCGCAGGAAGCAAACACACACACACACACACACCUGGUAAAGGUUAAGAAGGAAGACAACUCAUUACAUGUAAAUAAUACUGUGUAAGUAGAAAAUUCAACAGAACCUACCAAUAAACUAUCAGAAUUAGUAAGUAAAUAUAGAAAGAUUGCUAGAUAAAAAGUCAGCAAUCAAGAAUCAAUUGUAUUACUAUAUACUAACAAGUAACAAAAAAAAAAAAACAAGUAACAAAAGAUGUUAAAUGACAUUUAUAAUAGCGUCAAAUCAAAUACCCAGGGAUAUGAACAAAAUAUGUACAAUAUUUCUACACAGAAAACUACAAAAUCAAGGGGAAAAAAAUUAAGACCUAAAAAAAUAAGGAAAUUCACCAUUUUUGUUGGGAAACUGUAAAGAUACCAAUUGUUCCCAAAUUAAUCCAUAGGUUUAAAGCAAUCAUAGUCAAAAUCCCAAUCUUUAUUUUGGUGAAAACUGACGAGUUAAUUCCAAAAUUCACUAUAAAUACAAAUGAUUUUAAAUGGCCAACCCCUUUUAAAGAUAGCGGAAAGGCUUGACCUUCCCAAUACCAAGACUUACUGUCACGCCACGGUAAUGAAGUGUGACACUGAAACAAAAAUAGACAAAUGGACCUCUGGAGUCUAGUCCAGGUAGGUGAGAGAUCCAGGUGUGAAAAUACACCACCAGUAAAACUUCUAGAUCUAGAAGACAAUAUAAGAGAGUAUCUUCAUAACCUCGGAAUAGGGGAAUUUUUCUUAAGCCACAAAAAAGCAUUAUCCAUAAAGGAAAAGAUAAAUUUGUGUAUAUUACAACUGAGCACUUCUUUUUAUCAGAUGACCCCACAGAGAGUGAAAAGGGAGACUACAGGACCCAUUGCCAGAGUCCAUAAAGAACUCCUCUAGCUUGAUAUGAAGGCAGGCCAGCAUAAAAAUGGGCACAAGUCUUGCACAGGCGCAACAUAAAAAGAUGUCAUCUUGCACAUUAUAAAAAUCAUUCGUCAUCAGAGAGACGCAAAGUAAAGCCACAGUGAAACACCAUUACAGUCUCACUCCCAGCAGUGCUUAAACUAAAAACACUGACAAAUCCGGGGGUUGAGGACAUGGAGCAUCUACUGCCUUCCUCCACUGCUGGGGGGAAUGCAGAAGGAUACAGCCCCUUGAGGGUGCAGGUUGGCAGCAUCCCCUUGCACUUUUUAACAGAUCUCCAGGGGCCUCAGGAAAGCCUUUCUUUACCAGGCUCAGGUCAGACACCUCAAGGCCGUGCUAGAGCAGCUAAGAAAAUAUACGUAUUUUAACAUCUCUGAAGUUGUGAUGCACCUGGAUCCGUUUUCCCUCGGUUCACUCAACAUUUCAGACUUGACCAGUGCCCUCUCUUUCGUGGCACUUUGGCUUAGUUGGUAACUACGCUGUCUGCUAUAUGCCUCCCACGCUGGACUGGAAGCUUCAGGAAAACAGACUGUCGUCCUUCCCUGCUGCAACCCCUAAAACUGGAAUUGCCAGGUCAAAAGGCACGCACAUUUUUCAGUUACUUUUAAUUACACGACUCAUGAACACAUCUCUAUUCUAAAGUGCAGCAAUAUAUUGCACAAACCCUCCCCGUCCCGCUCCCUCCUUGAAGGCAGCCACUGUCAGCAGUUUAGAAUAUAUCCUUCUAGACUGUUCUUUGCAUGUACAUGCAUGUGAAUACAUGGUACGCGUAUUAUUCAGAGAGGCCAACUGUCUACUUGCCACAAAUACUGUGGCAGCGCACGCACCAGCAAUAAAUGAGAGGGUCUGUGUUGCGUCCCUUGCCAAAUCUGGAUGUAUUCUAUCAGUUUUUCUCCAAUCUGGUAAUAGAAGCCACCGGAUGGUUCAGAUCUAUAUUCCCCGGAUAUACUGUCUUUUGGGGUGGUUUUCCAGAUACAAGUAUCCUCCUCUCCAUCCCGCCCCAGCACCCUGAGUUACAGACCUCCCCCUACUCCUUCCUCUGUCACCAGUGGAGGGCUAUUUUACAGUGAGCUCUUUAAACCAUCCGGAAUUUAUUUUUACAUGCAAUUAUAAAGAGAAUUCUUUUUUCCAACCAGAUAACCAACUCUGCGUAUUAUGAUCCUUCCUUGAUUCUCCCAACUUAAAUGCCAUUUUGAUCAGAUAUUAACUUCCUAUGCACACUCAGAAUGUUUUCUGAACUUUCUAUUACUUUUCACUGAUCUGUCUUUGGGGCAGAGCCUUGAUUAUUGUAGCUUUAUGGUGAGUUUUAGCACCAGGGACCAAAAUUCCCCCUCAUUAAACUUAAAAAAUUUUUAUUAGCAAUUUUUGCACAUUUUCCUUCCACAUUAAUUUUUUUCCUUCCACAUUAAUUUUAAAAACGCUUUUGCCAUAGUUUAAAAAGUUCCUAUAAGGAAACCAUGUUCCUUGUGGGAACUUAAUUAAAUCUCUAUGUAAGAAGGCUGAAUAUCUUUACAUUACACAUAUUCCUAUCCAGAUAUUUAGUCCAGUUGUUCGUUUUAGUCUUUUGGUAUUUUUAAAAAUCAUUCUUCAUUUGGUUCUCCAUCUUUCUUGUUCAAUUUAUUCCUAGAUUUUGCUGUUUUUAUCACUAUUGUGUGUGGAAUUUUCUAUUUUUUUCUACUUUUAGCUGAUUAUUGCUGUUGGCUAUUUGUAGAUUUUAUAUCCGACCAUUUUACUAAGUUCUCUUAUUCUGAUUUAUUCUAAUUUUUUUUCAUUGACUCUUAGAUAUGAAUCUUAGCUAGAGAAUCAUUGUUUCUUCUAGUUUUUAUACUACAAAUUUCACUUUGCUAUUUUUUACAUUAGCUAGAAGCUCACUGGGGGGAUCCACCAGCUUUAUCCUGGUUAUAAUGACUUUUAAUGGUUUUAAUAAUUUUCCACUUAACGUGGCAUUUGCUCUCAGUGCCUCUUUCAGCUUCAGUAUCGCUGAGAGCUCAUUAGAAAUGCAGAAUCUAAAAAAAAAAAAAAUGCAGACUCUGAGGUCCUACUGACUGAACCAGAAUCUGCAUGUUAACAAGAUCUGCCUGGUAUUUCCCACAUAAAGUUCAAGGAACACUGGUCUAGGUGAUUUCUUUCUAUCCCGAUUUUGAGUUUAGUAAGAAAAGCUGUGGCUGCUGAAUUCUACCAAACUUUUUGGCAUCUAUUGAUCCCUAAAAAUUGGAUUCCUCCUUAGUGGCUGCCAUGCAUUCUAGUGUCUGAUACCCUAAUUCUGGGCCAGCCCUGCACCCUACAGCAGGAGGCCACCUUUCAACCCCCCAAGCAUUGUCCUCACCACUUACUUCCCCAUCCAUGUCUCGGGCUCCCCAAAGCAUCUCCAGGUUGAGACGGGUAUUCUCCGCUUGAGGUGCCAGGGCUGUGAGCAGCACACAGUGGGUGCUCAGAAGUCACUUGAUUUAACUCGAUCUGUCAUCCUUGUACGGCUGAGCUGACAGGGGAGCCGGGGGCGGACUUCCUCCUCUCCAUGCAGAUGGCUUUUUAUCUUGUUGAGUCACAGACCUCUUUGAGAACCUGGACACCUUCCCAGGAAAACAGCCAUUAAUGGCUUUCCCUCCCUGCUGGUUGGGAAGCUCCUGGCUGUCCUUAAGCCCAUGGUAAGACCCUUGCUCCCUGCUCUCCCAAAACCUUUGGCUGUGGGACAUCCUACAGAAAUCCCCACCAGCAGUACCCAGCUGGUACUGGGUAUUCUGAGGCUUCACCACAAGCCAGGCGUUGUGCUGAACACCCACGGGGGCUCCACUGAGUCUACCCACAACUCAAGAGGGCAGAUGGUACUACCAACCCAUUUUACAGAUUGGGAAAACCAAUUUCCUCAAGAAACCAGAAACUCCUUGAUGGCAAGGUCUGAUGUUUUGUGGCUGGGGCCUGGACCAGCUAGAAUGUCACUGCUGAUUAUGAGGCCUGGCUGGGAAGCUGCAGGGGCCUCCACGCCCUGUCCCCUAAGCCCCUUGCACCUCUGCAGACAGUUCUGAAUCUGGUUAAAAUGGACCACAGCUGACUGGACCAGGGUGCCAGGUGGGACUCGGGGACAUUCACACGUAGCUCUAUAGGCCAUCCAGCAGUCUCUAGGGUGACCCAAGUGCUCUCUAGUCUGGGUGGCCCUCACCACACAGGACCAAGCUGACCCUCCUUUGGUGGGCAAUAAAGUUAGGGACAGAAGGAGCAAGCAGAUGACAGGGAGGAGGAGGGGGGCAGAGCUGAAAGGCUACCGACAGAAGGAGGAAGUAGAGGGCAGGGAGGAGGGGAGAGAAACUUCUGGUAAAACAGCCCCAUGAGAAGUGGGUCACAUCUCAGAGGGGCCACACAACAUGAGCAGCAAACAGACCCUGGCCAGACCUGCCUUCAUGCAAACAGCAUCUCGGGGGGGGGCAGCCUCAGGAGCCCCCAGAGCCCAGCUGGGGACCGAUGUGCCACUCGCACUGAAAGUGAACCAGAAGUAGCGACAUGAAGCCCUGCCCAAGGGGUUGCUUUUUGUUUAUUGACCAGACACAGUGGCCUUGGUUUCUGGACAUAGAGUCAGCAUGAGAGCGCCUGUCUCCUGGGAUGGGGCAGGGGUCCAGAAUGAUCGGCCAGGAGCUACCAAGGAGAGAAGACACCACUCAACUCCUCCACAGGGAAGAAGAAACACCAGCAGCUUUGCCCUACAAUCACCAGGCAGGUAGAGGAGACUGGAGUUUGCAAGGUCCUUCCAGAUGGCUCCAAGGACAAAGGGAGCUCUGGUCCCUUUGAUGGUCUCCCGGGUGUAAGGUAAAGGCAAGGGCUACGGAGCCCAGCCAGCACAGUCCCAGAAAGAGUUUAGGGGGAUGCACAGAGGCCCAGGAGCUCUGGUGUGCCCCCAUCCCACAAUGAGCCUGGGCUCUGGGGCCAGUUCAGGUGAGGACGCUGCCUGAGGCCACCUGUAGCGGCGGAGGCCUAGCUAUGGGUGUGUCAAGGGUGACAAAUCCCACCUUCUUCUGGCCCUGGGUUCCCUCUGUAGGCAACAGAUAGCCACCAGCAGGGAUCAAAGUCCACAGAAACAGUCUGUCCAGGUUGGGUGUCCUUGUGCGUCCUGGCAUCCCCAAAGGAGCCAGCAGCUCUCAGGGGAGGUAGAGUGCCACCACCACAUAGAUGACCCAGCUGGUGGACACAAAGACCCCGAAGAGCAGACUGAAGAGCACGAGUGAGCGGGCCUUCCGGGAAGCCUCCUCAGCCUGGGCCAGGUCCCCCCGGCUCAGGGCAGCACGGGUCUGCAACGAGACGGAGGCAGGGAGUGGACAUGGAGCUCCCCCAACUCCCACACACCACCAACAGCGCUGGGGCCCGGUGCACAGCCUGGAAUGCUGGCACCCUGAGAUGCUCAGGACCUGCCCGGGGCCACCAUGUAUGAAGGAGGCCACGACUGCCAGCUCUGGGGCACCUGCCUUGGGCCUGGCACAGAACCAUGCCCUUGGCCUCACCUACAGCCCUCACAACAAUCCUGAGACUGGGGUCCCUGUUGCCCCCACUUUGUAGAUGAGGAAACAAAGGCCCAGUUAAGGGCCCCACCCAGGGCCCCACAGCUAGGGGUGGAGCCAGAACUCAGAGGCAGGCAGGCAGUGGCCUCCAGACUCCCACCUCUGUCUGAGCAGUCGUGAGAGCUGCCUUCUCCACAGCAUCCCAGCUUUAUGAUGGAGGAGCCUGACCAGUGCAGGGAAGUCAGGGCCACAGCCAGCCAAAUGUUCCGGAGUAGAUCUCCAGUGGUACGGAGCAGACAGGAGAGGGGAGGAGUGGCCAUCCAAGAGGCUCCACGGACAACUGAGCACUGAUGCCCCAGUUCCUGGCACCCUCCUGAGAUCCCCAGGGGCUGGGACAGGGCCUCUGUGGCCCCCCACCUACCUCGUGAGAGUAGACGAUCGCGAUGAGCCCCGUGAGCAGGCAGCAGAAGAGGGUCACCAGCACGGACUCCAUCAUGUAGUCCUUGGGCAGGGGCCUGUGCUCCACCGCGGUGGGGGCUGGCAUGCCAGCCACGGGGCUGUUGUACUGCGGGGACAGAGGUCACCACACUGCGGGUGUCUCUCCAGAGGUACCCAAACAGGUUCUUCAAGUCUUGAAGGGACCCUGCACCUCCCGAGAGCACCCUGGCCAGCUGAGUACCCUUAAGUAUCAGGAAGGGCCUGUAAGAGAAACCCUGGUAGGUAUACAAGGCCCCACAGUAGGGUGGGUGGCCCAGGGCCUGGCUUUAGAGGUUUAUUUCCCAAAUGUCCUUAAAGGUCACAGGAGGCAGAGAGAGAAGCAGAACAGCUGGAGCAGCAACAGUUCAGGAGAGGUGGUAGGAGCCCUGCUGACAUAGCCCACCGGUCCCAGGAGGCCUUGGAGGGACUGAGUUAGAGGCCAGGGAUCCUCAGAGAAGGGAUCCCCAACAGCAAGGAGUGCUGAACUCCUGAGAACUCCCCACCCACCCACUCCCAGCAGCCAGGGUGUCACUCACAGGCCUGCAGUGGGGUUCAUGCCUCCAUACCCUCACCCAUGGCCACCUGCUAUCUCCGUACUCCCUGAAUCUGGACGGGACACGUGACAUGCUUUGGCCAACAGAAUGCCAAUAAACAUCUCCCAGGGGUGCCUGGGUGGCUCAGUCAGUUCAGUGUCUGACUCUUGAUUUCGGCUCAGGUCAUGAUCUCAGGGGUCCCCCAGCUCAUUAGCCCUGCCACCUGUCCACUUGGUGCAGCCCCCCCUCUUCCUCAGUCCCUCCUGAGCUUCCAGCGUAAGGGGGCCAGUUUUGGAUCAUGCCAGAGCGGCUCCCAAGGAGCAAACAAACCAGCACCUAGAAAGGAAGGAGCUGCAGAGGGGAUCCCCUACUUGUGUGUGUGAAUCGGGGUGACCAAUAUAUCUGUUUUCCCAGGGCUCACAUUUGCUACUAAAACUCUCAUAUCCUGGGAAAACCCUUAGUCUCAGAUAAACCAGGGUGAUUAGUCACCCCAGACUGUAUCCACGCAGAUCUUGAACUCUCCCCCUCCAAGCUGCAUGUGUAGGCGACAGACCUAGACCAGCAUAAAGGACAACCAAACCGGACCACCAAACCAGCCAGGAAGCAACUAACCAAAGGCAAUAAGUACACACCUAUCAAUAAUUAACCUAAAUGUCAA